This 467-nucleotide ribosomal RNA is filed under the name uncultured bacterium. RNAcentral's name for it is "partial 16S ribosomal RNA". It matches the Rfam family "Bacterial small subunit ribosomal RNA", at positions 28 to 506 of the family's 1533-position model. The record is from RNAcentral.
GACGAACGCUGGCGGCGUGCUUAACACAUGCAAGUCGAACGGAAAGGCCCUGCUUUUGUGGGGUGCUCGAGUGGCGAACGGGUGAGUAACACGUGAGUAACCUGCCCUUGACUUUGGGAUAACUUCAGGAAACUGGGGCUAAUACCGGAUAGGAGCUCCUGCUGCAUGGUGGGGGUUGGAAAGUUUCGGCGGUUGGGGAUGGACUCGCGGCUUAUCAGCUUGUUGGUGGGGUAGUGGCUUACCAAGGCUUUGACGGGUAGCCGGCCUGAGAGGGUGACCGGCAAAAUGGGGACUGAGAUACGGCCCAGACUCCUAGGGGGGGCAGCAGUGGGGAAUAUUGCAAAAUGGGCGGAAGCCUGAUGCAGCAACGCCGCGGGCGGGAUGGGGGCCUUGGGGUUGAAAACCGCUUUCCCCUGUGACGAAGCGGGAGUGACGGUAAUGGGUAAAGGAGCACCGGCUAACUACGU